This 1525-nucleotide ribosomal RNA is filed under the name Klebsiella pneumoniae. RNAcentral describes it as "bacterial SSU rRNA". It matches the Rfam family "Bacterial small subunit ribosomal RNA". The record is from RNAcentral. Lineage: Bacteria; Pseudomonadati; Pseudomonadota; Gammaproteobacteria; Enterobacterales; Enterobacteriaceae.
AGAGUUUGAUCAUGGCUCAGAUUGAACGCUGGCGGCAGGCCUAACACAUGCAAGUCGAGCGGUAGCACAGAGAGCUUGCUCUCGGGUGACGAGCGGCGGACGGGUGAGUAAUGUCUGGGAAACUGCCUGAUGGAGGGGGAUAACUACUGGAAACGGUAGCUAAUACCGCAUAACGUCGCAAGACCAAAGUGGGGGACCUUCGGGCCUCAUGCCAUCAGAUGUGCCCAGAUGGGAUUAGCUAGUAGGUGGGGUAACGGCUCACCUAGGCGACGAUCCCUAGCUGGUCUGAGAGGAUGACCAGCCACACUGGAACUGAGACACGGUCCAGACUCCUACGGGAGGCAGCAGUGGGGAAUAUUGCACAAUGGGCGCAAGCCUGAUGCAGCCAUGCCGCGUGUGUGAAGAAGGCCUUCGGGUUGUAAAGCACUUUCAGCGGGGAGGAAGGCGAUAAGGUUAAUAACCUNCGAUUGACGUUACCCGCAGAAGAAGCACCGGCUAACUCCGUGCCAGCAGCCGCGGUAAUACGGAGGGUGCAAGCGUUAAUCGGAAUUACUGGGCGUAAAGCGCACGCAGGCGGUCUGUCAAGUCGGAUGUGAAAUCCCCGGGCUCAACCUGGGAACUGCAUUCGAAACUGGCAGGCUAGAGUCUUGUAGAGGGGGGUAGAAUUCCAGGUGUAGCGGUGAAAUGCGUAGAGAUCUGGAGGAAUACCGGUGGCGAAGGCGGCCCCCUGGACAAAGACUGACGCUCAGGUGCGAAAGCGUGGGGAGCAAACAGGAUUAGAUACCCUGGUAGUCCACGCCGUAAACGAUGUCGAUUUGGAGGUUGUGCCCUUGAGGCGUGGCUUCCGGAGCUAACGCGUUAAAUCGACCGCCUGGGGAGUACGGCCGCAAGGUUAAAACUCAAAUGAAUUGACGGGGGCCCGCACAAGCGGUGGAGCAUGUGGUUUAAUUCGAUGCAACGCGAAGAACCUUACCUGGUCUUGACAUCCACAGAACUUUCCAGAGAUGGAUUGGUGCCUUCGGGAACUGUGAGACAGGUGCUGCAUGGCUGUCGUCAGCUCGUGUUGUGAAAUGUUGGGUUAAGUCCCGCAACGAGCGCAACCCUUAUCCUUUGUUGCCAGCGGUNGGCCGGGAACUCAAAGGAGACUGCCAGUGAUAAACUGGAGGAAGGUGGGGAUGACGUCAAGUCAUCAUGGCCCUUACGACCAGGGCUACACACGUGCUACAAUGGCAUAUACAAAGAGAAGCGACCUCGCGAGAGCAAGCGGACCUCAUAAAGUAUGUCGUAGUCCGGAUUGGAGUCUGCAACUCGACUCCAUGAAGUCGGAAUCGCUAGUAAUCGUAGAUCAGAAUGCUACGGUGAAUACGUUCCCGGGCCUUGUACACACCGCCCGUCACACCAUGGGAGUGGGUUGCAAAAGAAGUAGGUAGCUUAACCUUCGGGAGGGCGCUUACCACUUUGUGAUUCAUGACUGGGGUGAAGUCGUAACAAGGUAACCGUAGGGGAACCUGCGGUUGGAUCACCU